RNAcentral lists this small RNA (555 nucleotides) under Pongo abelii (Sumatran orangutan). RNAcentral describes it as "processed transcript". The record is from RNAcentral. Lineage: Eukaryota; Metazoa; Chordata; Mammalia; Primates; Hominidae.
UGCAUUCUGCAAGCCACCCUGGGGUGCAGCUGAGCUGGACAUGGGACCGCGAGACGCCCAGCUCCUGGCAGCACUCCUCGUCUUGGGGCUAUGUGCCCUGGCGGGGGGUGAGAAACCCUGACGAACUGCGGCUUCCCUGGAAUCACCAGCGACCAGUGUUUUGACAAUGGAUGCUGUUUCGACUCCAGUGUCACUGGGGUCCCCUGGUGUUUCCACCCCCUCCCAAAGCAAGAGUCGGAUCAGUGUGUCAUGGAGGUCUCAGACCGAAGAAACUGUGGCUACCCGGGCAUCAGCCCCGAGGAAUGCGCCUCUCGGAAGUGCUGCUUCUCCAACUUCAUCUUUGAAGUGCCCUGGUGCUUCUUCCCGAAGUCUGUGGAAGACUGCCAUUACUAAGAGAGGCUGGUUCCAGAGGAUGCAUCUGGCUCACCGGGUGUUCCGAAACCAAAGAAGAAACUUCGCCUUCUUAUCAGCUUCAUAUUUCAUGAAAUCCUGGGUUUUCUUAAUCAUCUUUUCAUCAUUUUCAAUGGUUUAACAUAUAAUUUCUUUAAAUAAAAC